RNAcentral lists this ribosomal RNA (483 nucleotides) under uncultured bacterium. RNAcentral's name for it is "partial 16S ribosomal RNA". It matches the Rfam family "Bacterial small subunit ribosomal RNA", at positions 30 to 507 of the family's 1533-position model. The record is from RNAcentral.
AUUGAACGCUGGCGGCAGGCCUAACACAUGCAAGUCGAGCGGAUGAAGGGAGCUUGCUCCUGGAUUCAGCGGCGGACGGGUGAGUAAUGCCUAGGAAUCUGCCUGGUAGUGGGGGAUAACGUCCGGAAACGGGCGCUAAUACCGCAUACGUCCUGAGGGAGAAAGUGGGGAUCUUCGGACCUCACGCUAUCAGAUGAACCUAGGUCGGAUUAGCUAGUUGGUGGGGUAAAGGCCUACCAAGGCGACGAUCCGUAACUGGUCUGAGAGGAUGAUCAGUCACACUGGAACUGAGACACGGUCCAGACUCCUACGGGAGGCAGCAGUGGGGAAUAUUGGACAAUGGGCGAAAGCCUGAUCCAGCCAUGCCGCGUGUGUGAAGAAGGUCUUCGGAUUGUAAAGCACUUUAAGUUGGGAGGAAGGGCAGUAAGUUAAUACCUUGCUGUUUUGACGUUACCAACAGAAUAAGCACCGGCUAACUUCGUG